GGAUUAGGCAUGCAAGUCGAACGAGGAUGUAUCCUUCGGGAUAUAAGCCGAGUGGCGCAAGGGUGAGUAAUGCAUAGAUUACCUGCCUCUAGGAUAAGGACAACUUUGUGAAAACGAAGCUAAUACUUAAUGAUACAAAAGGAAAUAAUUUUCUUUUGUCAAUGGGAGGGUAGCAAUACCUUUUGCCUAGAGAGGGGUUUAUGUCCUAUCAGCUUGUUGGUGGGGUAAUGGCCUACCAAGGCGAAGACGGGUAGCCGGUCUUAGAGGAUGGUCGGCCACACUGGGACUGAGACACUGCCCAGACUUCUACGGAAGGCUGCAGUCGAGAAUCUUUCGCAAUGCCCGAAAGGGUGACGAAGCGACGCCGCGUGAGUGAGGAAGGCCUUAGGGUUGUAAAGCUCUGUCAGGAGUUAAGAAAUAUAAAUGUGCUAAUACCACAUUUAUUUGACGAAGGCUCCAAAGGAAGCCACGGCUAACUCUGUGCCAGCAGCCGCGGUAAUACAGAGGUGGCAAGCGUUGUUCGGAAUUAUUGGGCGUAAAGAGCACGUAGGUGGGUUUGUAAGUCAGAUGUGAAAGCCUUCUGUUCAACGGAAGAAUUGCAUCUGAAACUACAAGUCUUGAGUGUAGGAGGGGAGAAUGGAACUUCUGGUGGAGCGGUGAAAUGCGUAGAUAUCAGAAGGAACGCCGGCGGCGAAAGCGAUUCUCUGGCCUAUUACUGACACUCAGUGUGCGAAAGCUAGGGGAGCAAACGGGAUUAGAUACCCCGGUAGUCCUAGCCGUAAACGAUGGGCACUAAGUAGAGGGAAUUACCGAUGUUCUCUCUGCCGUAGCUAACGCAUUAAGUGCCCCGCCUGGGGAGUACGGCCGCAAGGCUAAAACUCAAAAGAAUUGACGGGGGCUCGCACAAGCGGUGGAGCAUGUGGCUUAAUUCGAUGCAACGCGAAAAACCUUACCGGGGCUUGACAUGGUAGAAGUAGGAACCCGAAAGGGUAACGAACGGUAUCCAGUCCGUAGCUAUCACAGGUGUUGCAUGGCUGUCGUCAGCUCGUGUCGUGAGACGUUGGGUUAAGUCCCCUAACGAGCGAAACCCUUGUUUUUAGUUACCAGCGGGUUAUGCCGGGUACUCUAGAAAGACUGCCGUCGUCAAGACGGAGGAAGGUGGGGAUGACGUCAAGUCAUCAUGGCCCUUAUGCCCCGGGCUGCACACGUGCUACAAUGGUCGGUACAAACGGAAGCGAAGCCGAGAGGUGAAGCGAAUCCUAAAAAGCCGAUCUCAGUUCGGAUUGGAGGCUGAAAUUCGCCUCCAUGAAGUUGGAAUCGCUAGUAAUCGCGGAUCAGCAAUGCCGCGGUGAAUAUGUUCCCGAGCCUUGUACACACCGCCCGU
Molecule: ribosomal RNA, 1384 nt
Filed under: uncultured Planctomycetota bacterium
Lineage: Bacteria; Pseudomonadati; Planctomycetota
Description: bacterial SSU rRNA
Rfam family: Bacterial small subunit ribosomal RNA
Source: RNAcentral